Molecule: transfer RNA, 75 nt
Filed under: Limnochorda pilosa
Lineage: Bacteria; Bacillati; Bacillota; Limnochordia; Limnochordales; Limnochordaceae
Description: tRNA-Met
Rfam family: tRNA
About the family: Transfer RNA (tRNA) molecules are approximately 80 nucleotides in length. Their secondary structure includes four short double-helical elements and three loops (D, anti-codon, and T loops).
Source: RNAcentral
CGCGGGGUGGAGCAAUGGUAGCUCGUCGGGCUCAUAACCCGGAGGUUGUCGGUUCGAAUCCGGCCCCCGCAACCA